This is a long non-coding RNA of Thunnus maccoyii (southern bluefin tuna), 2647 nucleotides long. RefSeq lists it as uncharacterized. The transcript is spliced from 3 exons. NCBI's taxonomy places the organism in Eukaryota, Metazoa, Chordata, Actinopteri, Scombriformes, Scombridae. The record is from RefSeq and is a predicted model, not a curated record.
CUGCCUUUCUCUCUCACCUCUACUACUCUCUGCUGCCCUUGCAGUCUGUCUUUGAUUCUUCUCCCCCUCCUGCAGUCAUGACAAUGCUGUGAAUACUUCACCUCCUGGCCAAUCACACACACACACACACACACACACACACACACACACACACACACACACUCUGCUGGGACAUAUACAAUAAGUGGGACACCUGGUCCUGCACAGAUGUGCAAUGGCACUGCUCAUUUCCCCAUGAGAAAUGACAUCAUUCUCACAAGGGGCCUGUGAAUGUGUGGGUCUGUACAGUAUUUAUAGUAACCAGUGGUAUCUUUAUCUUUAUGGGUCCUGUCACCAUAUGUUUCUAUUGUAUUGCCAUGCUGUAUUUUAGUCCUUGCAGUAGAGCUGCAAGUGUGAGAAAGCACAUGUCCUCAUCUCUGAAUUCAAAUGUAAGAUGUGUUAAAGUGUGUCAGGAGAAAUGAUAUCAUCUCUCAUCUGCUCAGUCUAGUCACAACUCAAUGUUGUAUUACAGGGGUACAUGACCUCUAGAUAUGCUUACUUUUUAGUGUCUCAGUGUGGGUUUUUUAUGUGUUUUUAAAUACAGCUCUGGAGUCAGGACAUAUUUAGUUUAGCAUUAUGACUAUUAGCAGGGAAAACAGCCAGCCUGAUUCUGUCCAAAGUUAAAAAAAUGCCUACCAAUAGUCGGUCCACUACUUUGGUCCACACUAAAAUAUCUCAAAAACUACUGGAUAGAUUGCCAUGGCGUUUGGAACAGGAUAUCCAAAGUGCACAGAGGAUGAACUCUACUAAUUUGAGUGAAAUGUCUCAACAACUAUUGGAUGGAUUGCCAUGAAAUGUGGUUCAGACAAUCAUCUCCCCCUGAAGGUUGAAUUGUAAUAACUUUGUUGAUCCCCUGAUUCUUCAUCUUGUGCCAUCAUCAGGUCAAUAUUUCAAUUUGUCCAUGCUAAGAUGCUAAACUAAGAUAGUGAACAUGCUAAACAUAACUGCUUAGCAUGAGCAUGUUAGCAUUGUCAUUGUGACAUGUUAGCAUGUUAGCUGACAUUAGCAUUUAGAUUUAGCUUGUGCCUAAGUACAGCUUUAAAGAGCUCCUAGUAUGACUGUAGACUCUGAAACUAUGUCUAGCUGUUUAAAUUGUAAAACUCCAUUUUCAAGCAAAAACAACAUGCAUCCACAGCAGGAGUUUCAGCUCAUUACAGCAAAUAUCUCCAUCCACAUCAAAAUGCCAAAACAGGUAAUUCUCCUCCUACUGAGCAUGUGCAGAGAACAGACAAGCAAGUCCCACAGAAAAUCAGUGAAGAAGAAAUGGUAUACUAUUUCCAUUUCCACGGCAGCUUCUUGACCUUUAGUUUAUUGAAAGCAGAUUACAACAGUUUCAGCAGAGAAAGGUGGUAGAUAGCUACGUUUAACUAUAAAAAAAGCUGUAAAAGUAGACAAUAAAGAGAACAACACCUGCAUGAGGCUGUCCACCACUGCUGUUGUUUUCGUUGUGUUUCUUCUUCUUCCUCUUCCAAUGAAAAACAAUGAGAUGCUGUGCUACUGCCACCAUCUGUUCCUUCGGCAAUUUGACAGCGUUUCUACACAGCUCCGUUUUCCCCAUACACAUUUACACACUCUGGAGGAUAUUUUGGAAAAGCUCCGUUUUCAGAGGAGAAAAUGUCAUUUUAGUCUGGACAGAGGGCCAAAGUGGAGAGAAGAAGGUACGUUUACGAAUUUAGCCGGCUUAGUGCAGACAUGGUCUUAGUCUUGUUGAACUUUGGACAGAGCCAGGCUAGCUGUUUACCCAUGUUGCCAGUCUUUGGAGCUAGGCCGACACAUACUCCAUACACCAUGUUCUUAUACUGACAGGACACUAUACUGUUCUGACAUUUCAUCAGCAAGAAAUCAAUUUAUAUCCUGUUUGUACCACCAGAACAUGAUGUGCACAUAUGGACAUCAAUCAAACUACAACUUUCAAAUAAAAUUUGAAAACAGUGGUUAAUGUUUUUCUAAGGAUUUACUACUUUAUUGUUGUUGGAGAUAUUCUUGUUUCGUCAAUGUUCACAAUUUGUUGUGAGGUCUCCCAGUUGUGAGGAGUUUCUCCAUUGUCCGACAGACAUUGAGGGAUUUUAGUUUGCUUAUUAUGUUAGAGAGCUGGAUGUGUGUUCCAGUUGAACCAUGAACAGCCAGGAAAAAAACAGAAUAGAAUGUAAUGUGGCUUGAUGCUGUAAAUGCACAGAAUUUUCAUUUAACAAAGUUCAAAUUUAAGGCUCCAUUAAUUGAAUUUUUGGCCACUUGGGAGCAGCAGAAAAAGCUGUAUCAUGUGACAAAGUUGGUGGAGUUGGGUUGGUGAACAUGCUUGCAAUAAGUUGCCUAUAUACACUUUCAGUGAUAUUUGCAUUCAGUUGGAGUCCUGUUUACGUCCACCUGAUGAAAGACGUCAACAUCAGGGAAAAACAAGAGCCUGGUACAUGUGUGGGCCUUGUGUGGCAGCAGUGGCCUCUGUCAUGCAUGAAGAAUGACCUGGCAGGGAGCGCACUGGGAAAGACUGGCCCAGUUGUGGAUGACUGCAUGAACAGCAGGGAGGGAAGAUGAAGAAGAAAGCUGCUCACCAACUUCCCCUCUCAACGGCUAACUCCCAUAAGCUACUGCAAUGUCUCUUUGUGUAAUA